This 507-nucleotide ribosomal RNA is filed under the name Leucocoprinus nympharum. RNAcentral's name for it is "SSU rRNA". It matches the Rfam family "Bacterial small subunit ribosomal RNA", at positions 379 to 896 of the family's 1533-position model. Lineage: Eukaryota; Fungi; Basidiomycota; Agaricomycetes; Agaricales; Agaricaceae. The record is from RNAcentral.
AAGAGUGAACUAGCUAACUGAAAUCUUAAGAUCACUUGUAUGUGGUACUUGAGAUAACGUAAGGGAAAACAAUGAUAUUACCUUACUAUAAGUGUUGUCCAAAUCACUGGUGCCAGAAGACUCGGUAACGCCAGAAACGCAAACGUUAGUCGUCCUUAUCAGGCGUAAAGGGUAAGUAGGCAGCUUUGAAAGUUAUUAAUUAGUAAGCUUUUGACUGAUUAAGUCAAAAUUUUUAAUAGUGAAUUAAAGCUAGAAUCAAAAAGAGGAUAAGCCAAAUAAUAUUUAGAGUAGGGAUGAAAUCCGUAGAUACUAAAUGGAAUACUAAAGGUGUAAGCUUUUAUCCAAUACUGAUUGACGCUGAGGAACGAAGGUGAGAAUAGAAAAUAGGAUUAGAGACCCAGAUAUCUCUCACUGUCAACGAUGAAUGGUAGUUGUUAGUUUUUAAAAAGACUAGUAACGAUGUUAACGCGAUAACCAUUCCGCCUUGCGAGUACGGUUGCAAAACUG